Molecule: long non-coding RNA, 131 nt
Organism: Capra hircus (goat)
Lineage: Eukaryota; Metazoa; Chordata; Mammalia; Artiodactyla; Bovidae
Exons: 2
Source: RefSeq, a predicted model, not a curated record
GGCUGGAAAAGAUGUGAGACUCCAUCUUGCCAGUCCCCGGUUUUUUGACACAGGCAGAUGUAAAGCCUGAAAGAGUAGGUGGAGCCACUCUUCCUCAUUAGAGUAAACAGAUUCAACUCAAUUAUAAAUAG